RNAcentral lists this transfer-messenger RNA (381 nucleotides) under Methylobacterium brachiatum. The stretch from base 32 to 201 matches the Rfam family "Alphaproteobacteria transfer-messenger RNA", at positions 68 to 185 of the family's 355-position model. Lineage: Bacteria; Pseudomonadati; Pseudomonadota; Alphaproteobacteria; Hyphomicrobiales; Methylobacteriaceae. The record is from RNAcentral.
CACGCGGUAUGAUGCGUGUGAGGUUGAUGACCGGUUCGUAAUAACGUUUCAGGACCCGGGGGCGGUACCCGGCGCCUCCACCAGAAGCAUCCUGUCCCUGAUAACGCAGGGGUCUUGGCAGACUAUAAUGUGUUUAUUGUCUGCAGCCAGGGUGUUUCUGAUGGGGGCGAAGUUAGGUUCGACUGGACGGUAAAGGGAUCGCGAGUUCUACCCUGUUUCGGCAGGAUAAGAUGCGACUUUCGGUAAGGACUCGACCGGUUCGGCGCAGGCAACCCCUGUUCCGGGCACCUGACCAAAACUCUAAAUGCCAACGAUAACGUUGUCAUGGAUGCCCGCCUCGCGGCGUAAGCAUCUUGCGGCAGGGCAGCCGUAGAAACAGAA